GCCUGGGUGGCUUGGUCGGUUAAGCGUCUGACUUCGGCUCAGGUCAUGAUCUCACGGUCCGUGGGUUCGAGCCCCGCAUCGGGCU
RNAcentral lists this transfer RNA (85 nucleotides) under Felis catus (domestic cat). It matches the Rfam family "tRNA". From Rfam's summary of the family: Transfer RNA (tRNA) molecules are approximately 80 nucleotides in length. Lineage: Eukaryota; Metazoa; Chordata; Mammalia; Carnivora; Felidae. RNAcentral also lists the same sequence under 1 other name. The record is from Rfam by way of RNAcentral.